UUCUGAAAUUUCUCCUACAUUCAACUUAUCGAUUUUGUUCUCGAAUGUUGCGGCGCGGAUAACGCCCCCCGGUAUUUCUUUCAAACUCGUAAAAAUCGGCGGCGAACGGAAGUUCGCUAUACUUCAACCGUGCGAAUUGAAAGGAAUUCAAUAUGGCAAACGGAACAGUAAAAUUCUUUAACUCCACCAAGGGCUUUGGCUUCAUCCAGCCGGAUGACGGUAGCUCGGAUGUAUUCGUCCAUAUUUCUGCUGUGGAACGCGCUGGUCUUCAUUCCCUCGUGGAAGGCCAGAAGGUCGGCUACGAAGUCGUUG
This 312-nucleotide unclassified non-coding RNA is filed under the name Brucella sp. 191011898. RNAcentral's name for it is "cspA". Lineage: Bacteria; Pseudomonadati; Pseudomonadota; Alphaproteobacteria; Hyphomicrobiales; Brucellaceae. The record is from RNAcentral.